Molecule: long non-coding RNA, 610 nt
Filed under: Fukomys damarensis (Damara mole-rat)
Lineage: Eukaryota; Metazoa; Chordata; Mammalia; Rodentia; Bathyergidae
Description: lncRNA (ENSFDAG00000032185.1)
Source: RNAcentral
UUUCCUUCUUGCUUAUCUCCUUCAAGCUGCUGGGACUGGGGUAGUCCCCAGGAUGCUGCCUCACUGGCUCCCCCAGCCCCAAACGCCCCACUUCCACAUCCAGAACGUUGUGGGCACUUUCACUUUGCCCUCUUCCCUCCGUGUAGUUCAUCCUUAGUCUGAGAGUCAGUGGCUCAGAUGGUCCUGUUAGACUUCCAGAGGCUUCUGUACCAACCCGGCCUACAAGCAGGAGCAGCAGGGCAGACCCCCUCACUGUACCCUCAGCAUGACACAGAUGCCACCAUCAAGAAGUGAGAGCUUCCAGCCUGUGGGCAGCCAGCAUCCUUUCAACUCACCCACCAUUACCAUUAGACUUGAAGAAUUCUGGAGAUGUUUGAAUACCAUCCACAUCCCGACUGCAUUGAAGGACUCACCUGUCAGAACUCACAUUUCCACUCCACCCUUGGAGAUUUCCGCAACCACAAAGAUGUUCCGUGGAACAUGGAUGGAACCUCGAAUGUGGAACAAAGAUGCUCCUAGUAACUACUACGGCCAUAAUGACCUGCUUUACGGCAGACAUCAUGUUGGCGUGGGAUACAAAGACCAACAAGAUGGCGCUGCUCCCAGAUGA